RNAcentral lists this unclassified non-coding RNA (422 nucleotides) under uncultured Sebacinaceae. Its description in RNAcentral is "sequence contains ITS2". The stretch from base 1 to 154 matches the Rfam family "5.8S ribosomal RNA". The record is from RNAcentral. Lineage: Eukaryota; Fungi; Basidiomycota; Agaricomycetes; Sebacinales; Sebacinaceae.
AACUUUCAGCAAUGGAUCUCUUGGCUCUCGCAUCGAUGAAGAACGCAGCGAAAUGCGAAAAGUAAUGUGAAUUGCAGAAUUCAGUGAAUCAUCGAAUCUUUGAACGCACCUUGCACCCUUUGGUAUUCCAAAGGGUAUGCUCGUUUGAGUGUCAUUGUACUCUCACACUCUCUGAUCCUUUGGAUUCAGGGAGCGGUGUACUUGGGUGUUUGCUGCUUUCCUAGUGGCUCACCUCAAAUGCGUCAGUGCACCUCUUGGUUGGACAUAGUACGGCGUGAUAAGUAUCUUCGCCGGCACCUCGCGAGAGGGUGGCUGAUCGGGAGCUCUGUGCUUUCAAACCGUCUUCGGACAAUCUCUGACAACUUGACCUCAAAUCGAGUAGGACUACCCGCUGAACUUAAGCAUAUCAAUAAGCGGAGGCU